This 71-nucleotide transfer RNA is filed under the name Ictidomys tridecemlineatus (thirteen-lined ground squirrel). RNAcentral's name for it is "Spermophilus tridecemlineatus (thirteen-lined ground squirrel) tRNA". It matches the Rfam family "tRNA". Rfam says of the family: Transfer RNA (tRNA) molecules are approximately 80 nucleotides in length. The record is from Rfam by way of RNAcentral. Lineage: Eukaryota; Metazoa; Chordata; Mammalia; Rodentia; Sciuridae.
GGGGCUGUGGCUUAGAGGUAGAGUGCUUGCCUACCAUGUAUGAGACACUGGGUUCAAUCCCCAGAGCCACA